CCUACGGGAGGCAGCCGUGAGGCAUAUUGGUCAAUGGACGGAAGUCUGAACCAGCCAUGCCGCGUGCAGGAAGACGGCUCUAUGAGUUGUAAACUGCUUUUGUACAAGGGUAAACCUGAAUACGUGUAUUCAGCUGAAAGUACUGUACGAAUAAGGAUCGGCUAACUCCGUGCCAGCAGCCGCGGUAAUACGGAGGAUCCAAGCGUUAUCCGGAUUUAUUGGGUUUAAAGGGUGCGUAGGCGGAUUGAUAAGUUAGAGGUGAAAUGUCCGAGCUUAACUCGGGAACUGCCUCUAAUACUGUUGGUCUAGAGAGUAGAUGCGGUAGGCGGAAUGUAUGGUGUAGCGGUGAAAUGCUUAGAGAUCAUACAGAACACCGAUUGCGAAGGCAGCUUACCAAUCUAUAUCUGACGUUGAGGCACGAAAGCGUGGGGAGCAAACAGGAUUAGAUACCCCAGUAGUC
RNAcentral lists this ribosomal RNA (460 nucleotides) under uncultured bacterium. RNAcentral describes it as "partial 16S ribosomal RNA". It matches the Rfam family "Bacterial small subunit ribosomal RNA", at positions 338 to 795 of the family's 1533-position model. The record is from RNAcentral.